This 470-nucleotide ribosomal RNA is filed under the name uncultured bacterium. Its description in RNAcentral is "bacterial SSU rRNA". It matches the Rfam family "Bacterial small subunit ribosomal RNA", at positions 28 to 507 of the family's 1533-position model. The record is from RNAcentral.
GAUGAACGCUAGCUACAGGCUUAACACAUGCAAGUCGAGGGGCAGCAGGGAUUUAGCUUGCUAAAUCCGCUGGCGACCGGCGCACGGGUGCGUAACGCGUAUCCAACUUUCCCGUUACUCAGGGAUAGCCUUCCGAAAGGGAGAUUAAUACCGCAUGAGACCACACUACCGCAUGGUAGAGGGGUCAAAGAUUAAUCGCUGAGAGGUGGGCUCGCGUCUGAUUAGAUAGUUGGUGGGGUAACGGCCUACCAAGUCGACGAUCAGUAGCCGACCUGAGAGGGUGAUCGGCCACAUUGGGACUGAGACACGGCCCAGACUCCUACGGGAGGCAGCAGUGGGGGAUAUUGCACAAUGGGCGAAAGCCUGAUGCAGCGACGCCGCGUGAGGGAAGACGGUUUUCGGAUUGUAAACCUCUGUCUUCGGGGACGAAAAUGACGGUACCCGAGGAGGAAGCCACGGCUAACUACGUG